ACCCAGAUGGCGAAAUAGGUAGACGCGUUGGAUUCAAAAUCCAAUGAUUUUACAUCAUGCGGGUUCGAAUCCCGCUCUGGGUACUA
RNAcentral lists this transfer RNA (86 nucleotides) under Blattabacterium sp. (Periplaneta americana) str. BPLAN. RNAcentral describes it as "tRNA-Leu". It matches the Rfam family "tRNA". Rfam says of the family: Transfer RNA (tRNA) molecules are approximately 80 nucleotides in length. Their secondary structure includes four short double-helical elements and three loops (D, anti-codon, and T loops). Further hydrogen bonds mediate the characteristic L-shaped molecular structure. tRNAs have two regions of fundamental functional importance: the anti-codon, which is responsible for specific mRNA codon recognition, and the 3' end, to which the tRNAs corresponding amino acid is attached (by aminoacyl-tRNA synthetases). tRNAs cope with the degeneracy of the genetic code in two manners: having more than one tRNA (with a specific anti-codon) for a particular amino acid; and 'wobble' base-pairing, i.e. permitting non-standard base-pairing at the 3rd anti-codon position. Lineage: Bacteria; Pseudomonadati; Bacteroidota; Flavobacteriia; Flavobacteriales; Blattabacteriaceae. The record is from RNAcentral.